This is a long non-coding RNA of Thalassophryne amazonica, 104 nucleotides long. RefSeq lists it as uncharacterized. The record is from RefSeq and is a predicted model, not a curated record. NCBI's taxonomy places the organism in Eukaryota, Metazoa, Chordata, Actinopteri, Batrachoidiformes, Batrachoididae. The transcript is spliced from 4 exons.
AUUAAAUUAAUAAACAUUUAUUACAAUACAUAACAAAUUUUCACUUUUGUCUUGUUCCUGGGUUAAAACCAUAAUUUCCCAUUUCUUCACAACCAAUCAAAAGA